GGGCCGGGCACGUGCUUACCAUGCAAGUCGAACGGAAAGGCCCCUUCGGGGGUACUCGAGUGGCGAACGGGUGAGUAACACGUGGGCAAUCUGCCCUGCACUUCGGGAUAAGCCUGGGAAACUGGGUCUAAUACCGGAUAGGACCUUUAGACGCAUGUCUUUUGGUGGAAAGCUUUUGCGGUGUGGGAUGGGCCCGCGGCCUAUCAGCUUGUUGGUGGGGUGAUGGCCUACCAAGGCGACGACGGGUAGCCGGCCUGAGAGGGUGUCCGGCCACACUGGGACUGAGAUACGGCCCAGACUCCUACGGGAGGCAGCAGUGGGGAAUAUUGCACAAUGGGCGCAAGCCUGAUGCAGCGACGCCGCGUGGGGGAUGACGGCCUUCGGGUUGUAAACCUCUUUCACCAUCGACGAAGGUUCGGGUUUUCUCGGAUUGACGGUAGGUGGAGAAGAAGCACCGGCCAACUACGUGCCAGCAGCCGCGGUAAUACGUAGGGUGCGAGCGUUGUCCGGAAUUACUGGGCGUAAAGAGCUCGUAGGUGGUUUGUCGCGUUGUUCGUGAAAUCUCACGGCUUAACUGUGAGCGUGCGGGCGAUACGGGCAGACUAGAGUACUGCAGGGGAGACUGGAAUUCCUGGUGUAGCGGUGGAAUGCGCAGAUAUCAGGAGGAACACCGGUGGCGAAGGCGGGUCUCUGGGCAGUAACUGACGCUGAGGAGCGAAAGCGUGGGGAGCGAACAGGAUUAGAUACCCUGGUAGUCCACGCCGUAAACGGUGGGUACUAGGUGUGGGUUUCCUUCCUUGGGAUCCGUGCCGUAGCUAACGCAUUAAGUACCCCGCCUGGGGAGUACGGCCGCAAGGCUAAAACUCAAAGGAAUUGACGGGGGCCCGCACAAGCGGCGGAGCAUGUGGAUUAAUUCGAUGCAACGCGAAGAACCUUACCUGGGUUUGACAUGCACAGGACGCGUCUAGAGAUAGGCGUUCCCUUGUGGCCUGUGUGCAGGUGGUGCAUGGCUGUCGUCAGCUCGUGUCGUGAGAUGUUGGGUUAAGUCCCGCAACGAGCGCAACCCUUGUCUCAUGUUGCCAGCGGGUAAUGCCGGGGACUCGUGAGAGACUGCCGGGGUCAACUCGGAGGAAGGUGGGGAUGACGUCAAGUCAUCAUGCCCCUUAUGUCCAGGGCUUCACACAUGCUACAAUGGCCGGUACAAAGGGCUGCGAUGCCGCAAGGUUAAGCGAAUCCUUUUAAAGCCGGUCUCAGUUCGGAUUGGGGUCUGCAACUCGACCCCAUGAAGUCGGAGUCGCUAGUAAUCGCAGAUCAGCAACGCUGCGUAUCGUAAAUAUCU
RNAcentral lists this ribosomal RNA (1339 nucleotides) under Mycobacterium intracellulare. RNAcentral's name for it is "bacterial SSU rRNA". It matches the Rfam family "Bacterial small subunit ribosomal RNA", at positions 33 to 1371 of the family's 1533-position model. Lineage: Bacteria; Bacillati; Actinomycetota; Actinomycetes; Mycobacteriales; Mycobacteriaceae. The record is from RNAcentral.